This is a long non-coding RNA of Cyprinus carpio (common carp), 1473 nucleotides long. Lineage: Eukaryota; Metazoa; Chordata; Actinopteri; Cypriniformes; Cyprinidae. The record is from Ensembl.
AUUGGUCAAAAUACUCCACUCUUAAAUUGUCUCAGAAUAUUACAUCUUAGAAGAGUAAGUAUGGUUUAAAGAGUCGUAUUUUCUGUAUGUACUGUAUGCAAAUGUUUGUUUAGCGGAAAAUUAGGGAAAAAAUAAGAUUACUACUCGAACUGUCUCUUUUCUGCAUGUUAUAAGGGAAGCGAAUGAGCACCAUAGAUGAGCACCUCCCUCAGAGUAUUUUUGGAGUGCGUAACUUAACGUUACAUUUGAUAUUGCUGACAUAAGCUUUGGUUCAGAUGAAACUCUUCUUUCAGUUUUCUGAAGUAGUCAUUCAGGUGCCUCACCAGAACCCAGUGUAAUGCUGCGUGAAUAUACGCUCAUAAGUAAAACGCAUACGUUCAAAACUAUAUAUUUUAGAAUAAAAGUAAUAAUAGCAUAGCAAUAUCUUGUAUAAAUAGACAUACAAUAGCGAUCGACAAAUGUGUUAAAUUUCCUUUUAUUUUGUUAUAAUUCUGUGUUGUGUAAUUUAAAAGCAUUGUCUGGAUGGUAAAGUUUGUCUUUGGUAAUUAAAACAAACUUGUCUGUACAUUUGACUUUCUCUAUAAAGAUUUAUUUAUAUAUUUAUGUUUAUUAUUUUACAGUGUUUUGAUGUGUUUCUGUAUUUUUCAUGUUUAUGAUAUUUUGGAAUGACUGAAGAUCAGCACAUAAUUCAAUAAUCUUGUGGAUGGACCGCAGCAAGUCCUUUUGCAGUUGUAUCCAUCAAAAUGCUAUGCAUACAUAAUGGAAAUGACAUUGUACAGCUUGGACAAAGUUCACACAGGCUUGGAGCAGGAAUUUAUCAAGUACAUGACUGUUGGGAUUACAGUUGUGGAUGACCAAACUGAGCACCAUCAAUCUGCAGUGAUGUGGUCCAGGUAAUAGAAGAAGAAAUCUUGGUGAUCUGGGGUUGUAACACGUUGUGGGGUUGUGUACUGUGUUAGACUAUCUGGGACUUCAACUAAUUCAGGUUUAAAACAACUUGAGGUUUAGUAAAUGACAAUUUUCUUUCUUUUUCUUUUUGGGUGAACCCUUUACGAAAAUGUAGAUAUUUUCUUUGGAAAACAGCUUCAAAAUUUAGAGAACAUAAUUUGACAUUAUUUUCCCUUCAGUUUUAUUCCUUGAAUUUUCUAUAAUUGGUCUUUAUAAGGUCUUUAUAAAGUCUUGAAUUUAUCUUCAUAAAACCAGCAGAAACCCUGUUUAUGGACAUCACCAUUCUUAAUUAUUUUGCUGAAUACUGUUGUGAAUACUGAAUACUGUUUUGUUGUGGGGAAGUCGUGGCCUAGUGGUCAGAGAGUUUGACUCCUAACCCUAUGGUUGUGGGUUCGAGUCUCGGGCCGGCAAAACCACGACUGAGGUGCCCUUGAGCAAGGCACCGCACCCCCAACUGCUCCCCGGGCGCUGCAGCAUAAAUGGCUGCCCACUGCUCCGGGGGUGUGUGUAUUCACUGCUGUGUGU